GUCUGGAACUUGAAGCUCAUUACCCCGGGCAUAUGUUUCCUGAAUUGCAGCAUCUUUCCAUAAAGUUUCAAUCUCCUGUGCAAGAUCUCUGGUGAGACAUGGAUAAUUUAACCUGCCUCCAAUUUCUGACAACUUCUCUCCAAUGUCCUUAUUUUCACUGGAUAUGACAUACUUUGAGGGAUCUGUUUCAUUUUGAGCCAAUUCCUUUGAUCCAU
This 215-nucleotide unclassified non-coding RNA is filed under the name Hevea brasiliensis (rubber tree). The record is from RNAcentral. Lineage: Eukaryota; Viridiplantae; Streptophyta; Magnoliopsida; Malpighiales; Euphorbiaceae.